AGAGUUUGAUCCUGGCUCAGGAUGAACGCUAGCGGCAGGCCUAAUACAUGCAAGUCGAACGGUGAUAGCAAUAUCAUAGUGGCGCACGGGUGCGUAACACGUAUGCAACCUACCUAUUAUUGGGGGAAAGCCUUUGGAAACGGAGAUUAAUACCGCAUAAUACGAUUGACUGGCAUCGGUUGAUUGUUAAAGCUUCGGCGAUAAUAGAUGGGCAUGCGUCCAAUUAGUUAGUUGGUUAGGUAACGGCUGACCAAGACGAUGAUUGGUAGGGGAUCUGAGAGGAUAAUCCCCCACACUGGCACUGAGAUACGGGCCAGACUCCUACGGGAGGCAGCAGUAGGGAAUAUUGGGCAAUGGGCGGAAGCCUGACCCAGCCAUGCCGCGUGCAGGAAGAAGGCGUUAUGCGUUGUAAACUGCUUUUUUAUAGGAAGAAGGAUCCCUUGCGAGGGAAGGUGACGGUACUAUAAGAAUAAGCACCGGCUAACUCCGUGCCAGCAGCCGCGGUAAUACGGAGGGUGCAAGCGUUGUCCGGAUUUAUUGGGUUUAAAGGGUGCGUAGGCGGUUUAUUAAGUCAGUGGCGAAAGACGGUCGCUCAACGAUUGCAGUGCCAUUGAUACUGGUAGACUUGAGUGAGAUUGAGGUAGCUGGAAUGGAUAGUGUAGCGGUGAAAUGCAUAGAUAUUAUCCAGAACACCGAUUGCGAANGCAGGUUACUAAGUCUUAACUGACGCUGA
RNAcentral lists this ribosomal RNA (733 nucleotides) under uncultured bacterium. Its description in RNAcentral is "bacterial SSU rRNA". It matches the Rfam family "Bacterial small subunit ribosomal RNA", at positions 8 to 749 of the family's 1533-position model. The record is from RNAcentral.